GUGGUUCAAAGUUUUACAGGCACACUGCGUGCUAAAAAGUUAUCUGGCUAGGAGCGGUGGGUAGAAAGAACCAAACCUUUCGUAGAUCUCAAGGGAAAUUUUGGUUAGCUUACUUUAAAAGGGAAAGAAUGAACGAAGUAAAUAGGCGAGGGAAUCUAAGCAGAUUGAGGAACUUGAAAGAAUGGAAACUAGUUGUGUGCAGACAGAAAAUACCUCUUAGGAGGUUAUGGCAACUUCCUGGAGUCGUCUUAUCAGGCGUCUCUUCUCUUGCUUGAAAUAGAGACAGAGGAGAAGCUUUUCUUAUCACUGGGGUUUCUAAAGGAAGUUAGAUCUUGGGGAAGCUUAAGAUGGGAUCGUGAAUUUUGAGACUCAUGAUCAAAUCUCUUAAGUCACCUGCUUUUUAAGUACUGUUUAACCUUUAGCAUAAAAGAUACUUUAGCAAAAUCUCUCUCCCAGCUAAUGUACUGCAGUAAAGAAACACGUCAGUUUAGAGCCCCUAUGCUUAGAGUAAACCUGGUAAUCUUGCUUUCUUUGAGAAGUUUCUAAAUGCCUUUAUUUCUAGCCUUCGGUUGGAAUCCUAAAACCUCUAUUGGAGAGAAACUCCUGUCCAGAGUAAUGGCAGACACAAAAACUAGCUUCUCUCCAUCCUGCUUUAGAGACUAAAGUUUGGGUCAGCUUGGGUGAAAACCAUGGGAGGAAAAGUCUAAUUUUUGAAUUAGACUUAUUUGUGGGAAGCAAACAUCCUUUGUGUGGUGUGUUUAGUGAAGGAGGGAGCUAAAGUGAACUUCAAGCAUCAUGUGGCUUUUGAGCCCUCUUACCAAGGAGUGGGGUCUUAGUUACAUUCCCUUUGAAAGCAGCUGUCUGAUCUGAAGAUACUUUGUAUAAAACCUGUGGGCUGAAACCUUAUACCUGGAUGUGGAGGUGGAGGGAAAUGUAUUAUCUCACCUUGUGAUCUUCAUUCAGUGCCAGAUUUACUCACCUGGAAGCACUUUCCUGAUAGGUGAAUGAUUAGGAGAAGCUUUUGCAGCUGGGAGAGUGAGGAAACUAUCUAGUUAGAUGGUGGCCACCCGGAGCACUAGAAGGAUUGUGGGGCUUCCUUAAGCUUGUCAAGAGACAAAAGUGCCUGUUACAGGGGAAGGGGAUGAUGUGGCAUCUCUGUGAGAGACUCAAGAACAUGCUAUGUGAUGGACGUAUUCAUUCUCUUGACUGACUUCACAGGUGCUGCAUAGCAGAUUGUAUUGCAGUUUCUUUAGGUCAACUAUAUAAAGCUUUCUUCUAAAAAUCACACUUCUCAAACACCUAGGUCACUUUCUUUAAGAAAAAGCUGGAAAAAUGGAGAAAAAGUUCGAGUCAGGACAUGCACCUUUGUCUACUCUCAUCUCCGUCAGUGUGGAGUUACUUUGUUUACAAUGUACUUAUGAAGGAAGCAGGGCUCAGAAUAGCAAAGAUCACAUGGAUACCCGACUCAAGAGAUGUGUGGUUCUGUGCUGGCAAUCUGCUUAACAUAGAAUUUCUUGACAGAAAAGACCUGGGAUCUUGAGAGGCCCAGCCUUUCUAAGCAACACUGUUAGUUAAUGGUUAUAACUAGAACUGAGUGUGGGGCAGGUGGUGGUGGGGGGGGGGGCGGGGGGGGGGGGGGAAGAUGAAGCCCAGGGAAAGGGAUGGGUGGCUCUGCUUCUCCAUGGCUGCCUAACAACACUGAAAACCAAUUACCUAAUUACUCAUCCUGUAGACUCCUUACCUGUAAUUGUGUAUCUUUAUUGAUAGGAAAAUUUUUCUGCUUCCAGAAAUUCCAAAAGCUGGUGUACUAGUGACUUGAUUCUGUCAACCAAGAACUUGGUUAAAUUUAGGUGUGAAUUCUAAGAUAUUAUAGUGCAUGGUAUAGCUUGUCUACUAGCACUUUGUUUUAUGUAACUUUAUCAAACACUAUGAAAACCAAGGAAAACAAAUGAAAAGUGAACCUCUGUCUACAACUUCACUUUCAAAUCGAUGAAAUACCUCAAUGGAUUAUCAGGCAAAGAAAACACCUCAAAAGAUGACAGUGGAGGCACAAAAGUUUCGCCUUUCCCCCCUUAGAAAUGCAGGGCAAAACAAUUGUCAUCUGUUUACCCAAUUAAGGGCUUAACUGCAGGUGAGUCCUAUGAAGCUGCUGUCUACAAGUAGUUGGUGUUACUGGACAGGCUUCUGGAGAGCCACAUGGCUCUAGAUAUCAAACGUAUGAUGGGUUAGGAGGAGACAAGUUUAUAGCUGAAACCAUGAGAGUGGGGAGAAGGAAUUUGAGUAGUAUCAAGCUUCUCAAAUGUCAACUUAUGUUUAGAACAUGACAUGAAAUAGCGGAAGACUCCCCUCCGCAAAUGGGAACCUGGCUGUGCCUUAGGCCGUUUCGUCUGUGUGGAUGCCUCUCUGAGCUUUGGCCUAAUGUGCACUCUGCCUGCUUUCUGGCCACUGGGCUCAGUUUAGCCCAAACCUCGGCUUAUGUUUUCUCUUGGAACUUGUCUGAGAUUCAGCUCAUAGUAGCCAAAACCCUGACUAGCCCUUAGGGUGGCAUUAAUUGAAAUUCCUCAGUUGUGCCAAGGCCACUUCGAGAUCAACUCAUUCUUUUGGUUUUUGCUUAGUAUCCAGUGUUGACUGAGUUGCUCAACACUAGCGUCCAGUGGCUGCUUUCCUAGGAAACUGGUUGUAUCAUGUCUCAUUUCUUAGCACCAAAUCUAUCAAACUGUCCUUAGUUGAAGACAACUACUUUAUCUUAAUUGUAAUAAGCCACUCAGACAAGUACUAAGCAAUGAAAAGGGGGUAGUGGGAAAAUGGGCAAAGGUGAAGAAAUUCAAUAAUAGAAGUUGGAACCAGGUGAACUAAAACCCGUGCCUCUGGGAGAAGCUAUUAGUUUCUCUAGAAGGAUUUGUUAAAGGUAGCUAACUGAUUAUCAAGAGCCCUUCCUCCCGUUAAUCUACCUGUAGGUGAGCCAACAUGAGAUGUUGUAAUUCAAGCCAGUGGCUUUUGAACAUUUUUGUGGAAUCUCGAUGUAUAGCAAAGUAAGAAACCUGAUCUAGGAGCAGGGGAGUGUGUGCAGAACCCUUCAACUAAUCUCCUGUCCCAAGGAGCCCAGAGAAUACCCAAGGUACUGGGGAACACAGUUUGAAAGGGUCUAAAUACCAUACUUCCGCUUAUUGAAGGAUACUCACGCAUUACAGUUCUUAAAAGCCAGCUUCUGUUCAGGGAGACACCUCAAGCUCUGCAGCUGUGGUUACAGCGGUAACCUCUUCAAAUUCUGAGGCUGCCUCUAGGGAAACUCCUGAUCUAGGCCUAAUCUUGUUUCUUAUGUUGCAGGUUUGAGCUUGAGUAGAAGUGAACACACACAGGGUCUAUGGCUUGUUUCAGUACUGCCGAGUCUGAUGUCUUAAGAGGCAUAGAGGUGGAGUUGCAGGGAGCAUGGCCUUGACCGUGGUCCUGAAUCCUUUGAUCUGCAAAGCAAUUUGCUUACAAACAGCUCUUUCAGGCAUCUGAUUCUGUUGAACUCGGAUGGCUGGCAUUUUUUCCUCCAGGGAACCAAUCCUUUAGAACCCUGUGGGUGAGAGCUGUGGUGGCCAGAGGUUAUCCAGGUCCAACAGUUCACCUUUCUCCUGCCUCUCAAACUACAGCAAUAGUUGUGAGACCGGUGGCUGAAGGAAGUGAGGGUCCUGCCCUCCAGGAGCCUAAAGCGUAACUUGAGAAGGAACACAAACACCCAGCUGUGGCAUAAGGGCAAUGCGAAACUCUCCACAGGAAGGGGUGAGGGCAUGCUGGCUGGAAAUCAGAGCUGACUUGCAAGUUGGGCUUUUUUUUCUUUGAAGUAACUUAGGAAACAAGGCUGGAGUGGAUUUCGACUUUGCCCUAGACUUUUCAUCAAAAUGACCUUGUGUGUCUAACCCCGGCACAGUCUUAUUCAGAGUAGGUGAUAGAGAGGGGCUUGAUAAGAACCUAGUAGGAAGUGUGAAGUGAGGGGAAUGAAGCUUCCUUUCAGUAGCAGGAAAGCCCUGUAGGUGACCACAAAAUGUGGUCUGUCUUUCCCUAAUGUGGUGGCCCAGUGGAAGCAAGGCUAAGCUCUGAAAUGAGGAGGAAGCUUGGAAAAGCCCAGGUUGGUUUUGCUCUGUGCUGGUGAGGUUUUGGAAGCAGUUGAGUGAAUUUUCAGAGGCUAGAUCAGGCAUGGUCAACUAAACGACAAGCGAUAGUUGUCUAAAGAUAUUUAAUAUACCAUUUCAUCUUUGGGUCUUAGGAACUGCCAGGGGAGAUGGGCUGUGGUAUAAACUAAACAAGUCGAUGAUCUUGUCUAGUUCUUUGAAAUCAAGUUUUCUAAUCCCUAAGAACCCUCAACUUCUACCUGAAGCUGCAUAUGUAACUUCAGGUGUUAUAGUGGCCUCAUUAAAAAAAUAUACUAACCCAAUAGACAAAAUAUUUCGAAGUGUAACAACUUACGUGCCUACGUAUUUUUGCUACUAAGUCUGAAAUCUAGUAUGCAUCUUAAAGUUGCAGCACAUCUCAAUUCAGACUAGCCCUGUCUCAAGUGUUCAAUGGCUAGGGGCUAUCGUGUUGGACUAGAUAAAAGAAGAGGUAACUUCAGGGCCUAUUCCUCUUGAACUUCACUUGCCGCCUGUUCUAGAGAUGUUGGUCUAAACUGACUUGCAUACGAUGUAGUUUCAGUAUUGCUGUCACUUGUGUGCAAACCUGUCAAGAGGGAAAUUCCCAGGAACCAGAACAUUGGAACCAUUGAAACUACUUACUUGAACUUUGUCAGAAUGACUGCCUCAUGUUUAACACGAUUCUACGUCAGUGCUAUGACCACCUUCCGCACCCCUAGCAAUCGCUUUAUUUGAUUAUUGCUGGCAGACUUCGUCUUGGAAUUCUCUGUGCUAUGUGUACCCAGAGCGCACAUUCUAAAGUUUUUAGUAACUCAUGGCUGUUCUAAGUACAGGAUACUGGAAAAAUACAAGUAGCUCUUUGAGUAUUUUUCAACUUAAGUUAGUGGUAUCUUAAAGAGAUCAAACACUUAAGCAUUUAAUACCUACCUUAUCCAGGCCUCACUCGCCACCCACCCCCUCCUCUAAAACACGUUAGAGUCUCUUCGUGGUUGGAGGGACCCUGCCUCUUACUGCUGAGUUACACUCAAAUUAGGCUCAGUGUGCUUUUCAGUGAUGUGCCAUGUUAAGGAGACUUCUUAUAAGCCAACAGGAGUAUACAGCAAAAAGGUGGUUUAUUAGGACCUGAAAUGAUAUUGUGCCUGAAUAAGGACCAGUGUAAAUACACAUCAAACUGAACUAAAUUUCGAGAGUAGGGGGGAAUCUUCUUCACGACACUCCUUACUAAACUCUUCUUUCUAGUAAACUGACUCAGCCUGGGUUGGAAUUUAGAACAGCUGGGCUGGUCUUCCCCAGGUGUCUGUAUUCACUGGACGCAUCUAACUGCUAAGGGGAAGCUUUUGGGAACUGGAGAAGAAAAAGGUGUCUGUUCCUCAGACCUGCAUCAGAACUGUGGUGAGGCUGAAGGGCAUGAGAUUGAGCCCCAGGGUCAAGCUGGGCUGCUGUGAGGCCAAGGUGACUGAUGUAGUAAGGAAGCGAAGCGAUAGCCCCAUUUGUUCAAGAACCAUAGUUUGCUUCUCACAUGGUGAGAAUGAAAUGUGACACGGAGAGAAAUGCAGAUCCCUUUAGCAUAUCUGGAAGGUUGGAAGCUGUUAAACCAGUAGCACUUCCCUUAGGCUUUUGGGCACUUGACAGAAAUAAGGCCAAAGCAGAACUGGAGCCAACUUUUCAUGAGCCUGAGGCCCAGAAAUAACUGAGGGUACUUUGAGAGGUCUUGCUAUUGUGGAUGGUGGUGGUAGAUGUAACAAUCUGGAUUCUGACAUUAUUAUGCUCUCCCUUAUAGGAGGCUGAAACAUGAGCAAAUUGGCUGUCUGUCAUUUGGGGUGGUGUGACAAUAAAAUAUACAAUGCAAAGCUGUUUGUGGGCUGUGAGAUGUUUGAGCAGCUAUAGAAGCAGUCAGUAUGCUCUGUGUUAAUUAAGGCAAUCAUUGGUAAAAGCUAUCUACUUGUCAAAAUGGCAAAUCCCCCACUGAUGACGGCCAGCAGCAGUCCCCAGGUUGGAGAAUGGGAGCCCAGGAGCUGCGUCAGUACAGAUGUUUGAUGGUCCAGGUGGCCACGAGUGAGAGAUUCGGGGUCGUUGAGUGGGCAUGCGCAGCAUCUGCCUGAUUCUCAGGAACUUCCCAGCAUUGCAGGGGCACGCUACUGGCAUUUUCAGGUGACCUCAGGUUGAUUGCAUGCAGCUAUGUACCUUGUCACAUCUUGUGUGCUGAAUGCCCAGCCACCCUCCAGCUGCAACAAAUCUUUAGAGGCCUAAUGAUCAUUAGGCCAAUGGAGAAGUCAUCUGCAGGUAAUAGCGUCCUUUCCUAAAUCCUAGCUAAGUAGGAGCGUUACUGAACUACUAGUAGCUACACUAUAAAACUCAUUGAAGGAUUUGGACCUAUUAAAGUGUUAUUGAGUAACUUAUGCUACAUAAGUUGGUGGCCCUAUUACUACUACUCCUACAACAUGACUGAUUUGGCUGCUAAAUAACUUGAAUAUCAUCCUUAGUUAAGAACUAGAUCUCCAGCCUGUAAGAAGUGUUUGUUACCCCAUUAUGUAUCUGAGAAGUGGGAUCCCAUUUACCUUGUCACACAGGGUUAACUCCAUUUUACUUGGAUGCCUAGGUGCUUUCUCUUCACUCUGCUACUCUAUGAUGCUGGAUUGUUUCUUGUGUGACUGAUGCUAAGAGUAAUGAAUCUCGAAUACUGCUUGUGGCUUUGUUUGGCUCAGUUUUUAAAUUAUGUUCAAUACUUAAAGCACUUUCCAAAUGUGCUCUUAACCACUGAGCUGCAUAAUGGACUGGGCCAGCUUGUGACUAGGAGCCAGUUGUGAUGCAGGAGCUGCUUGUGGGCCACCAGAAGAGGCAGCUAAUCUUCAUGGUAACGAAGUGUUCCCACAACCUGAUGCCUUGUCGAAUUGUGUUAACCUCUAAGAAGUUGCUGUUCUUACAGGCGGCACCUGCUUUGUCUGUUCUUUCAGAAGUUAUUUGGAAAAGCUCAACUCAAAAAUAGUGGUCCCCUCAUCCCAGUCUUGACAGACUUCCACUGUUUUUCCCAAGCCAAGCUUUGGCCGCUACUCCAGCAAUAAAAACAUUUGUGUAAGGUGAGUCUGCAAAUGCCAAUUGUGGUCUUGAGUUAAUGUAACAUGAUUACUCUGGGGAAAGAAAAUCCAAGAGACGGGCCAAAGAUAUGUGACUUGUUGAUGUAGGCAAUUCUUGCACAUGUACUCUUAGGUAACUUCCCUUGCCUAUUGAAACAGAACCAUUCUGGAGGUAAAUGCCCAAACCUGGCAGUAGACAAAGGACCUAGGCAUGGGGAACUGACUGGUAUCUGUUUGACUCAACACUUCAGGCUGAAAGAAAUGUAAUCUCUACUCCAGCUGUCAGACACCCAGUUAGUCACCUCAGUCAGGUGACACUAACAGAUGAAAACCAUUAAAUAUGUUUGUCUAAGAAUCUACAAGAUCUGGGUAAAUGGGUAAUGACUCUGGCAAUAGUUUCCUCAAAUAUUUAAAACCACAAGCAUGAUUCAUAGGGCUUUUGUUUGAAGCUUAGAAACGUGAAAGCUUAGAAUUGCAUCUUACAGGGCUUGUUUUUCUUUAUGAUCAGGUACUAAAUGUAUUGCCUGAGUUUUUGUAACUUGGUAAUUGGCGUGUCCCUACAGUUCUAUGGGGACACUUACUAGCAAUUUGAAUUAAUAGAUCCAUCUAUUAGUGAUUCCUAAGAGUUUGGAAGUUUUCUGAAGUGCCAGCUGUUGAAUGUCUUCCUGUCCUCCACCUAGCCCCAUGAAUUGUUGAAAUUGAGUGUAUUUUAGAAUGUUUUAAAGGUUCCUAUACCUCUUACAGGGGUGAGGAAUCUAUCAGAUCAACCGAUGUCACAAGUUCCUACAUGAACUUGAAAGUAGGACUCCUGAAAUGAUGCCAUGGGCACUCCAAACAAUCAAUUGCACUGUUAAUGUUUUGAGAUCCCCUUCAGAUUGAGGAAGCCAGGUUUAUCUCUAUUUGGUGUCCUUCAUAGUGAAUUCCCCCCAUUGAAUGCAGCUUCUCCACGUUUGUUUCUACUAGGCUGUUUCAUAUAACCUGGAAAUUAGCCUGCUUUAGUGGCCAAUUCAAAGCAGAUCUCUUAAAACACACUGGAUCCUUGAUAUAGAGCCCUUCUGUUUGGGUUCUCUUCAGUAUUGUCCUGGUUCGAUUCUCCUUCAUACUGGUUACUCUUGCCUAAUUUUAUAUCACUUUUCCCCACCUCUCUUGAACUCUUAUGCUCGAGUUCUAUUUCAUACCCUUAAUCCAUUUUUACCACUGUGCUUUAAACUUGAGUAGAUAUUGAUGGUUCUGGUUCCCUCUUUUCCUUUCAUAGGCAUUUUCAGUUUAUAUACAUGUUCGUUGCUAAUAUGUAGGACCAUCAUGUUCUUGGUGAACAGUAGAUCAGGGUCAUGACUUGAUAAAACAUGUGGAUAUGGACAGGGAAUAGUAGGUACAGUAGCUAAGCCUUUAUACCAUUACUCUGAAUGCUUGACAUAUACUGGUUCACUUAUUCAUUAGCAGUAACUACCUUAUGGGGUGGUUUCGUUUAUAGAGAACAGUCUGAGGCCUAGAGGUUGUCACUUUCUAAAUCUCUCAACCUAGGAAAUUGUUCAAUUUAGGAUGUUAAGUGUUUGUAUAAAAUUAAAUCACCCUUAACAAUGACUUGCUAUAAUAUGCCUAGAGAACAAAUGUUUGACCAAAUGUUUAAUAUUGUGGUUAAGGGUUAGGUAUCAUAAAUAUCAAACUGAAUCUGAGUUUGGGUUUACUUUAAGCAGGCGGCUGUCAUUCCGACCUUGCUCAGCAAGAAGCUUAGAUGUCUUAGGGGAACAACAAUCAUUUCCUGUGUCACAAAGUCCUAUCUGCUUGCUCAGCUCUUGUGUACACUGACUCAAGUGUCGACUGUGGGUGACAUGGGGCUUCUACAUUAUGUGAAAGGAAGCUUUUGGUGUGGCAAGGUGACUGGUUAAAUGUCAUGAGCUUAGUCAUGUACACAAUUGCAUCAGACUAAAUGACCAAAUAGAGACAAAGGGUGGAGUAAAUCUGUCAUAAUAACUUGGAACGCAUCUUACUGUCUUUUCCUUCUAUUUUUUGUGGCUUAACUCCAUCUGAUAUCUCUCCUGGCUGUCUUAACAAAAUAAAACCAGUUAAGGGCUGCUGCUUGUCAUACAUGAUUAACUCAUGCAUGUACUUCAGUGAAUCUAGAUUUUACUAUGAAGAAAAUGAACAAUACCUGUCUGAUUCAGUGAAGCAAUCAGUACCUGUCACCUGGCAAACUAGAACUGAUGUAGAAAUCUUACUCUGAGGUGUUAAACCGUCAGUUUCUACUUGCACUGACUUACCUGAGAAAGCAUUUAAGUAGUGGCCUACUGCCAGAUGAAUGUCAACUACUCAGUCCCAGGUAGUUAUCAGCUUUUACAGGUAACACUCAGAGGUCAAUGGCGCAGUCUCCCUUCUGAGAGGUCCUGGGAUUUGAACCCAAGAUCUGGUUCAAAAGCCAGAUACUAGUUCUAUAGCAUGGACAGGUGAGGGGAUGGUUGUGGAAGUGCCCCCCUCCCCCCUGACUCACCUUACUGUCAGUUGCUUCUACUUCCAUAUGAGUGGGUGGUUAACACCUUGCCCUUUGUUCUCCCAAAUACCGAACUCAGUUUUCACUCGCUGACUUGUCUUCCUCUCCAGCUUGCUAGUUCAACUCCUCCCACCUCGGUUCUAUUAAGAUUGUUCUGUGUCUUCACAUGGACUUAGUCUGUUGACCCCUUUACUUUGUCUCAAUAUUCCAGCUGCUGUCUUUAUUUCCUUGGUAACUAGUCUUUUUCCCCAAGUGAGAAUCUUUUUGUUCUGAGCUCUGUUUUGCCUUUCUGAUAAGCUUCAACUCUGUGUGAAUCAAAGUAUCUACUUUAUUCUAGUACUGGAAAAGCAGAGCUUAGCUGAAUUAAUAGACUAGGUGGAUAUUUGCCUCUGAACUCAAACUCAUUACCAAUUUUGGAUUCUCCUAACUGCCAAACAUUGCAGAGAAGCCAGAAAAACGGGGUCAUUGGGCAAUCUUGAUUAGACUCGGCACCCCUGCCAAAUACUUUUGCUUUGUUUUCCUAACAACUACCUCUUGCCUUCAAACAUAAUAAAUAACUUGGUAAAACAUGCAUUAACUAAGUGAUGUAACAUGAAUUGAAAUUUGUGUUUUGGUCUUGUUGAUUCUCACCAAUUCUUGAUUAAACUCACCAACUCAAGUAGCUGCCAUAUUCUAAGAAGGGCUCCCCCACUGACUGUGGUGUUUCUGAGUCAGUCUCUGGUCUCUGCUGGAGGCUCCCUCCCGGAACUGUGUCCCUAGCAGCAAGGACGCUGGGAGAGCGUACUUUGGGUGGUAAGACUCAGUGUGAAACUCUUAAGCGUUUUAAGAGACAUUAGGUCUCUGAAUAUGACAAACUUUGACAAUCAUGUGGAAGGACUUGUCCUAGGGAGGCUUGGGUGACUGUUUCUAACCACCUCAGCAGAUAGCCAUGGCUCCCCUGUCCUCUGGAGGAGCGUAUGAAAUUGAGAACCAGUACCUUCCAGCCGGCUCUAAAAAUGUGGUUCCCUGUAUCUACGUCACUGUGGUAAAGCACUACCUCUUUAAGUGGGAGUAUCCUAAUUUCAGUCAGUUUUUCAGACAAGUUAGCAGAAAGCAAUCAUGGUUUCACAACUUAGCAAAGCUUUCCUUUUUCUGCGGUUACUACUGCCCCCUACUGGAGGAUGUUAAAAGCGCUCAUUGGUUGUUGGGCCCUAUAAUGCUUCAAUAGCAGGAUCCUGUGUGUUUAAGCCAUGCGUCUAUGCCAAGCCUCCACAAACACGAG
This 10938-nucleotide long non-coding RNA is filed under the name Equus caballus (horse). RNAcentral's name for it is "lncRNA (ENSECAG00000047024.1)". The record is from RNAcentral. Lineage: Eukaryota; Metazoa; Chordata; Mammalia; Perissodactyla; Equidae.